UUCUGCGCGGGCUCUCCUCUCUCUCUAUUCAUUCUCUGUGUCUCAUCUGCUCUCUCCUCAUCUCUGAAGCUUCAUCUCCGAAAUGCCUAUGUGAGUCUCCGAAAUUUCUGGACCCAUCUCCAUCUCCAUCCCCGAAAUUUCUCAACGGAUUCACGCUCGCCCAUCUCCAUCGCUGACCCUCACCCAUUCACCGAUUCACCCUCACCGACUCACCCUCACCCUCACCUCACCCAGUCACCGAUUCACCCUCUCCCUAACCUCACCCAUUCACCGAUUCACCCUCUCCCUAACCUCACCCAUUCACCGAUUCACCCUCACCGAUUCAUCCUCACCCAUCUCCAUCUCUGAAGCUUCACCCUCACCCAUUCACCGAUUCACCCUCACCUCACCCAUUCACCCUCACCGAUUCACCCUCACCCAUUCUCAAGGGUUUUUAGGUUUGGGUUCAGAUUUUGCAAAAAUGAAGCUCCGUCGGUGUUGGGGGAUUCAGCUCCGUCGGUGUUGGUGCUGACUGAAAGAGUUUUUGUUGUUGAUUUAGCAUCUUCGAGACCGUAAGCUCGAGUUCAUCUUCAGAAAGUUUGCUCGGUUCAUCUUCAAUUACUAGCACACAUAAAAGUGAAAACAGAAUGUAAUUGAUCUUUGGAAGUUUCAAGU
Molecule: long non-coding RNA, 654 nt
Organism: Quercus lobata
Lineage: Eukaryota; Viridiplantae; Streptophyta; Magnoliopsida; Fagales; Fagaceae
Exons: 3
Source: RefSeq, a predicted model, not a curated record